This is a non-coding RNA of Candidatus Woesebacteria bacterium, 73 nucleotides long. Lineage: Bacteria; Candidatus Woeseibacteriota. The record is from Rfam.
GCCGAUGUAGCUCAGCUGGAAGAGCAGACCCUUCGUAAGGGUAAGGUCGGUGGUUCGAUCCCACCCAUCGGCU